GAUGAACGCUGGCGGCGUGCCUAAUACAUGCAAGUCGAACGCUUCACUUCGGUGUAGAGUGGCGCACGGGUGUGUAAUACAUAAGUAACCUGUCAUCUACAGGGGGAUAACUGAUGGAAACGUCAGCUAAGACCGCAUAUUUUUAGAGAUCGCAUUUACUCUAUAUGAAAAGUGCUACGGGACUGUUAGAUGAUGGACUUAUAGGGCCUUAGCUUGUUGGUAGGGUAACGGCCUACCAAGGCGACGAUGCGUAGCCGACCUGAGAGGGUGACCGGCCACACUGGGACUGAGACAGGGCCCAGACACCUGCGGGAGGCAGCAGUAGGGAAUUUUAGGCAAUGGGGGAAAGCCUGACCGAGCAACGCCGCGUGAAGGAAGAAGUAAUUCGUUAUGUAAAGUUCUGUCAUAGAGGGAGAACGGUGGAUAUAGGGAAUGAUAUGAAAGUGACGGUACUGUAUAAAAAAGCCACGGCUAACUACGUG
This 482-nucleotide ribosomal RNA is filed under the name uncultured bacterium. RNAcentral's name for it is "partial 16S ribosomal RNA". It matches the Rfam family "Bacterial small subunit ribosomal RNA", at positions 28 to 507 of the family's 1533-position model. The record is from RNAcentral.